CAGUGGGGAAUAUUGCACAAUGGGCGCAAGCCUGAUGCAGCCAUGCCGCGUGUGUGAAGAAGGCCUUCGGGUUGUAAAGCACUUUCAGUCGUGAGGAAGGUGGUAGUGUUAAUAGCACNAUCAUUUGACGUUAGCGACAGAAGAAGCACCGGCUAACUCCGUGCCAGCAGCCGCGGUAAUACGGAGGGUGCGAGCGUUAAUCGGAAUUACUGGGCGUAAAGCGCAUGCAGGUGGUUUGUUAAGUCAGAUGUGAAAGCCCGGGGCUCAACCUCGGAAUUGCAUUUGAAACUGGCAGACUAGAGUACUGUAGAGGGGGGUAGAAUUUCAGGUGUAGCGGUGAAAUGCGUAGAGAUCUGAAGGAAUACCGGUGGCGAAGGCGGCCCCCUGGACAGAUACUGACACUCAGAUGCGAAAGCGUGGGGAGCAAACAGGAUUAGAUACCCUGGUAGUCCACGCCGUAAACGAUGUCUACUUGGAGGUUGUGGCCUUGAGCCGUGGCUUUCGGAGCUAACGCGUUAAGUAGACCGCCUGGGGAGAC
RNAcentral lists this ribosomal RNA (538 nucleotides) under uncultured bacterium. RNAcentral's name for it is "bacterial SSU rRNA". It matches the Rfam family "Bacterial small subunit ribosomal RNA", at positions 352 to 882 of the family's 1533-position model. The record is from RNAcentral.